AUAGAUAAGACUGCUGCUGCACUUCUCAGAACUCUUUCCCAAAUGCUGCCUACUUUGCCAUUACAGGGGGCCUACAAGUCAUCAACAAUAUGCUAUUGUCCUGAGAAGGGAACCUGGACAGAACUUGAAGGAGAUGUAGCAGAACCCCUGGCAGGCCCUGCCUGUGCGACAGUAAUCUUGCCUGCCUGUGUACCCUACAACAAAUAGCCCCAGGAAACUCUGGAAGGAACAGCAUCACAUCCCAGGAAGCAGUGACAGGUGACGUCACUAUCCUAAUAGGAACUGUGCAUUUCUCAUGAUACAACUGCUGAAACCCACCUUUGGUUUCUGAUGAUUUACAAGUAACUACAAAAGAAAGAGACCUGUUAUGGAACAGAUACUGUGUCUGCAACUCAGAUCGUAUCCGACUUCCUGUGGUGAUGGACUCUUCCAUUUCAGACUGGUUUUAAUUUGUCCCAGCUUUACAGAAACUCCUCACAUGGAUCUUAACUUUCAAAGGGAGAAAGAUAAAAUACAGAAGACUGGCCCCAGAGAGACCUGAGAUCAGUAUUGUGCAUUGUACUCUACCUGCAUGUGAUCGAUGUUGAAGUUUUGGGGAUAUUUUGUACAUGAAUAAUUCAGAAUUUGACCCACCAAAAUACUUAACACUGCAUUACAGAAAUUCCCACUUGAUUCUGUAUUCCUAACCUUUGGCUACUUCACAGACUCCAUAAGCAACACAGUUACUGAAAACCAUAGAAGAUUAAAUAGGGGCAUUUUUGUUUCUAUACAUCCUCAUUUCAUGUACCUUCUGCCCUUAUAGUACCUCAUGGAAGAGUUAAGUUGUUGGGUCUUUCAGGAGUUGCUUUCUGCCCUGCAGGUUCUAGGAUAGCCAGAGUCCUAAUUCCCAUGUCCUGAAUUCUAUCUGGAAAUUAAAACAUACUAUGUCACUCUGAAGUUCAUGGAGGCUUAUGCUUUCUUUCUUUCUCUCUCUCUUUUUAGUGUUUAAGCAGUAAGCACACAUGCUAUUUGCCUCCAAAGAUAGGACUGACAAAUUCAGUCAUACACUAUUUCAUAGAUUCUGUUGGAUAACACAUCUGACCCAGACUUAAUCUAUGAUCAAAACUAAGAGAUUGCUUUUAGGAAUUCAGGGAUGAAAAGAAAAAAAUAAUUUCUUUCAAGGACAAUCCCAAUUAUCUUUGUUCCUAAAACACGAAACUUACCAGGUUAUAUAUAGUCUCUGACAGAAUACUCUUCCCUCCUCACCUGCAGCUGGAUGUAGACCCUGGACUUCAUCUCAUUAUUCCCUGCCUCAUCAUUUUUGGUUAGCACCAGAGAUUCCUGAACUCAGUCCAGCAAGCAGUUGCUACUUGUCCUUAGGAGCAUGGGUAAUUUAGGAGCAGAGGUCAGGGGAGCAUGACGUAGUCUCAGCGUGGCCAAUCAAAAGAACAAAACUGGUAGGAACACAAAUUUGACUUUCAAGCUCUCCUGAGCUUGAUCAACAACUGUUAGGAGUAAAUAAGAGCUUAAAAUAUUUUUUUAAUCACCCAGAGAUAUUGAAUCCUCCAAAAAAAAAUGUUACAUUCAAAACAAUAAGGGGAAGCCAGAUUAAAAACGCCUUGGUGAUAAGUUUUCAUUGCCAAGUGUGUCAAGAUGGAUGGGGAUACUGGAAUCCAAUGCCGUUUCUACAGUAAAGUGCAAUCUUCUUUGUUUUUGUAUUUAUUUGUAUGUUCAGAUCCAAAGGAUCAGUUGUAAAAAUAUAUAUAUAAAUAUACAUAUAUAUAUAUAUAUAUAUAUAUAUAUAUAUCUCCAGUGCAAUCAACUUUUUAUUUCUUUUUUUCUUAAAAACAUAUGAAUAUAUAGAAAGGAAGAAAAGUCACGGUAUUUUGUAGGAAACUCCCAGCUGACAUCAUGAACAGAACAAGGUCUGUUUCAGAACCUUUUAUUGUCAACUGUCAUCAUUUCUUCCUAAAGUCACAGUUUAUACAAUAAUAUUUGCUUUCCUUAGACUUCAUUUUAUUUUUUAUUUCUAGCCAAAAUAAAUAAAAAGCAUUUAUGAGAACUAUAAGUCAAACUUUCUGGAUUCAGAAAGAUAUAAACUACUAGAAAGUAAAAAAAAAAAAAGAUUAAAUAAAUCACAGAGAAUGUAAAUUUUGUACAGUAUUAGAAUGUGUAAAUGAAGCUUGCUUGGAAGGGGAAAACUUUAAAUAAAAACUUUAUGUACUAAUUCAACUGUCUGUAAUAUUUCUAUUCACAAAGCACA
RNAcentral lists this long non-coding RNA (2242 nucleotides) under Marmota monax (woodchuck). Lineage: Eukaryota; Metazoa; Chordata; Mammalia; Rodentia; Sciuridae. The record is from RNAcentral.